RNAcentral lists this ribosomal RNA (253 nucleotides) under uncultured bacterium. Its description in RNAcentral is "partial 16S ribosomal RNA". It matches the Rfam family "Bacterial small subunit ribosomal RNA", at positions 524 to 776 of the family's 1533-position model. The record is from RNAcentral.
UACGUAGGGACCAAGCGUUGUUCGGAUUUACUGGGCGUAAAGGGCGCGUAGGCGGUGCGGUAAGUCACUUGUGAAAUCUCUGAGCUUAACUCAGAACGGCCAAGUGAUACUGCAGUACUAGAGUGCGGAAGGGGCAAUCGGAAUUCUUGGUGUAGCGGUGAAAUGCGUAGAUAUCAAGAGGAACACCUGAGGUGAAGACGGGUUGCUGGGCCGACACUGACGCUGAGGAGCGAAAGCCAGGGGAGCAAACGGG